GACGAACGCUGGCGGUGUGCUUCACACAUGCAAGUCGAACGAGGUAGCAAUACCUAGUGGCGGACGGGUGAGUAACGCGUGGGAAUCUGCCUUUAGAUGGGGGAUAACGGGCCGAAAGGUCCGCUAAUACCGCAUAUGCCGCAAGGUGAAAGGAGUAAUCCGUCUAAAGAUGAGCCCGCGUCCGAUUAGCUAGUUGGUAGAGUAAAAGCCUACCAAGGCGACGAUCGGUAGCUGGUCUGAGAGGAUGAUCAGCCACAAUGGGACUGAGACACGGCCCAUACUCCUACGGGAGGCAGCAGUGGGGAAUUUUACGCAAUGGGGGAAACCCUGACGUAGCGACACCGCGUGAGCGAAGAAGCCCUUUGGGGUGUAAAGCUCUGUCAGCUGGAACGAAAACAAUGACGGUAC
Molecule: ribosomal RNA, 408 nt
Filed under: uncultured bacterium
Lineage: Bacteria
Description: bacterial SSU rRNA
Rfam family: Bacterial small subunit ribosomal RNA
Source: RNAcentral